GGCAAGCGUUGUCCGGAAUCAUUGGGCGUAAAGAGCGUGUAGGCGGCCCGAUAAGUCCGCCGGGAAAGUCCAGGGCUCAACCCUGGAAUGCCGGUGGAAACUGUCGGGCUGGAGUCCGGAAGAGGCGAGUGGAAUUCCUGGUGUAGCGGUGAAAUGCGCAGAUAUCAGGAGGAACACCAAUGGCGAAGGCAGCUCGCUGGGACGGUACUGACGCUGAGACGCGAAAGCGUGGGGAGCAAACAGG
Molecule: ribosomal RNA, 244 nt
Filed under: uncultured bacterium
Lineage: Bacteria
Description: partial 16S ribosomal RNA
Rfam family: Bacterial small subunit ribosomal RNA
Source: RNAcentral